This is a non-coding RNA of Phrynosoma platyrhinos (Desert horned lizard), 72 nucleotides long. The record is from the annotation of a GenBank genome assembly. Lineage: Eukaryota; Metazoa; Chordata; Lepidosauria; Squamata; Phrynosomatidae.
GCCAGCAUGGUGUAGUGGUUUGAGUUUUUGACUAUGACUCUGGAAUACAGGGUUCAAUUCCCAGCUCAGCCA